GACGAACGCUGGCGGCGUGCUUAACACAUGCAAGUCGAGCGGUAAGGCCCUUUCGGGGGUACACGAGCGGCGAACGGGUGAGUAACACGUGGGUGACCUGCCCUCAGCUCUGGGAUAAGCCUGGGAAACCGGGUCUAAUACCGGAUAUGACUCCAUGACGCAUGUUGUGGGGUGAAAGCCUUGUGCGGCUGAGGAUGGGCCCGCGGCCUAUCAGCUUGUUGGUGGGGUGAUGGCCUACCAAGGCGACGACGGUAGCCGGCCUGAGAGGGCGACCGGCCACACUGGGACUGAGACACGGCCCAGACUCCUACGGGAGGCAGCAGUGGGGAAUCUUGCGCAAUGGGCGAAAGCCUGACGCAGCGACGCCGCGUGAGGGAUGACGGCC
This 385-nucleotide ribosomal RNA is filed under the name uncultured bacterium. RNAcentral describes it as "bacterial SSU rRNA". It matches the Rfam family "Bacterial small subunit ribosomal RNA", at positions 28 to 416 of the family's 1533-position model. The record is from RNAcentral.